GCAACUAAAUACCAACAACAAGUACUUUCUAGAAUCCGGACUUCCCCAGAACUGGUCCAUGCAAGUCCAUCUGCAUCAAGAGGCACUCUCGUGUCAAAGUCCAGGGCCUGGGUGGACUCCAAACCCCACUUGAGAUGUGGUGUUAGAGGUGAGAAAAUGUGCUUCCAGGGGGCAAUAUUUAUUUCACAUACGUCUCUAAAAAUAACUGCUAGUUUCUUGCUUGAAAAAGGAUGUUCAAUCAACACAUGGUUAUAUUUACAUGUCAAAUUUUCAUCAGUCUUUUCACAAUGGCCUUUCAAGGGAAAAGACUGAUGGGAACUUUUGAACACUAAGACCUCAUUUCUUUCUGAGGGUCUUCUGAGGAUGGAGCCCAGGCAGACCCAGAACACUAUGCUCCUGAAUCAUUACUUUAUGGGACGACCCUGUGGGUUCAGUGAUUGAGAAUCCACCUUGCAAUGCAGGAGACAUGGGUUCCAUCCCUGGUCAAGAACUAAGAUUCCCACAUGCUAUGGGGCAACUAGAAAGUCCAUGAGCCACAGCAAAGACUCAGCACAGCCCUACCUCAUCCCCUAAAAGAUUUCCUUGGUGGUGCAGUAGAUAGGAGUCCCAAUUUAUCUACUGCCAGUGCAGGAGGCUAGGGUUCGGUCCCUGGUCUGGGAAGAUUCCAUGUGCUGUGGAGUGGCUGGGUCAUUGCGCCACAGCUGUUGAGUUUGAGUUCUCGAGCCUGCAAGCUGCAACUACUGAGCCCAAGUGCUGGAGCUCUUAAAGCCUUAGUGCCUGGAGCCUGUGCUCCACAGCAGGACAGGCCACAAGGAUGAGAGCCUCCUGCACUGCAACGAAGAGUGGUCCCCCACUCGCCGCAACUAGAGAAAACCCGUGCGCAGCAGUGAAGACACGGUGCAGUCAGAAACAAAAUUGAAAAAAAAAAAAAAAAAAGAAUUAUCUCUUUCUGUCUUGGAGACCUGCCUCAUGAAACCCUCCUUCUUGCAUAGCAAGAGGAAAUUCCACUCACCCUGACUCCACUCACAUUUGUGGGAUUUUUCAUUUUCCUCUUUCCGAGGUAACUGUCUUUCUUCCAACCAACCCACUCCAUGUUGGCACCUCUUCUUUAUUUUGGUUUCUCAGAUAAAUGAAGGUCCUGCUCUUACA
RNAcentral lists this long non-coding RNA (1149 nucleotides) under Bos indicus x Bos taurus (hybrid cattle). RNAcentral's name for it is "lncRNA (ENSBIXG00005005829.1)". Lineage: Eukaryota; Metazoa; Chordata; Mammalia; Artiodactyla; Bovidae. The record is from RNAcentral.